RNAcentral lists this ribosomal RNA (427 nucleotides) under uncultured Rhodocyclaceae bacterium. RNAcentral's name for it is "bacterial SSU rRNA". It matches the Rfam family "Bacterial small subunit ribosomal RNA", at positions 356 to 774 of the family's 1533-position model. The record is from RNAcentral. Lineage: Bacteria; Pseudomonadati; Pseudomonadota; Betaproteobacteria; Rhodocyclales; Rhodocyclaceae.
GGGGAAUAUUGGACAAUGGGGGGAACCCUGAUCCAGCCAUGCCGCGUGUGUGAAGAAGGCCUUAUGGUUGUAAAGCACUUUAAGCGAGGAGGAGGCUCUUUUGGUUAAUACCCAAGAUGAGUGGACGUUACUCGCAGAAUAAGCACCGGCUAACUACGUGCCAGCAGCCGCGGUAAUACGUAGGGUGCGAGCGUUAAUCGGAAUUACUGUGCGUAAAGCGUGCGCAGGCGGUUUUGUAAGACAGGCGUGAAAUCCCCGGGCUCAACCUGGGAACUGAGCUUGUGACUGCAAGACUAGAGUACGGCAGAGGGGGGUGGAAUUCCACGUGUAGCAGUGAAAUGCGUAGAGAUGUGGAGGAACACCAAUGGCGCAGGCAGCCCCCUGGGUCGAUACCGACGCUCAUGCACGAACGCGUGGGGAGCAUACA